GCUAUUUCUUGGGCUGCUCCCGCGGCAUAUGGAGGUUCCCAGGCCAGGGGUCCAAUCGGAGCUGUAGCCACCAGCCUACGCCAGAGCCAUAGCAACGCGGAAUCCAAGCCACAUCUGCAACCUACACCACAGCUCACGGCAACGCGGAUCCUUAACCCACUGAGCAAGGGCAGGGACCAAACCCGCAACCUCAUGGUUCCUAGUCAGAUUCGUUAACCACUGCGCCACGACAGGAACUCCGGUAUUGUCUUUUGAUACAUAAUUUUCAAAUUUUGUCUUAAGUCCAGUUUGUCUAUUUUUCUUUUGUCGCCUGUGCCUAUGGUGUCAUUUCCAACAAACGAUUGCCAAAUUGAAUGUUAUGAAGCUUUUGCCCUGUUUUCUUCAGUUGGCUUUAUAAUUGUAGGACUUAUUUUGGGGGGCUUUUUAGGGCCACAACUGUGGCAUAGGGAAUUUCUCAGGCUAGGGAUUGAAUCAGAGCUGAAGCUGCCAGCCUACAGCCACAGAAAGGGCAGAUCCAAACCACAUCUGCAGCCUACACUACAGCUCACGGCAAUGCCAGAUCCUUAACCCACUGAGUAAAGCCAGGGAUCAAACCUGCAUCCUCAUGGUUACUAGUUGGUUUCGUUACCACUGAUCCACAACAGGAACACACAUUUUGAGUAAAUUUUGGUAUAUGGUGCUAAGUUAUUCUAACUUUAUUCUUUUGCAUAUAGGUGUCUAGUUUCUCAGUGCCAUUUGUUGAGAAGACUGUCCUUUGCCCCAUUAAAUGGUCUAAAAAAAUUAAUAAUCUGUGAGGGUUUAUUUCUGGUCCAAGCCCUUGCCUGGAAGUUGCAAGUUUUUGAUGAACUUCAGAAAUUCUCUCCACAAUUUUUUUUUUUUUUUGGUCUUUUGUCUUUUUUUUAGGGCCACACCCACCGCUUGCGGAGGUUCCCAGGCUAGGUCUCUAAUCAGAGCUGUAGCCGCUGGCCUACACCACAGCCACACAAUGCUAGAUCUAAGCCGCGUCUGCGACCUACACCACAGCUCACAGCAACGCCAGAUCCUUAACCCACUGAGCGAGACCAGGGAUCGAACCCACAACCUCAUGGUUCUUGGUUGGAUUCAUUUCUGCUGUGCCACAAUGGGAACUCCUCAAGUGAUUUUUUUUGAAGGUGGGGUUUCUUAGAGACUAUUUCCAAGCUUCUGCGGAUAUCCCACAGAAAAGCAAAACAUAAUGAUACGAGAGAAAUGGCACAUUAUUGCAGGCCUCAGUCCUUGAGAAAGGCCAGAGAAGAUAGGCUCCAGAGCACAAAGGGAAGUGUUCACCUUUGCUCAGAACAGGGAAUGUUUGUUUGCUGUAAAAAGUAUACAAAAUAAAAAGUAUACAAAGGACAGAGGGAUGAGAGCAAAAAAAAAUUAGAAUUGAUGGUGGAAAUAGGUCGUUAGGUUUAUAGAUUUGGUGGUGGGAAGAAAAGUAAGUUGUUCUUGUGAUUGUUUUUAAUUUUUCAAUAAAAUACAAGAGUAAGUUAUUAGCUGAGAGUGAGGUAUAUGGAGUAGGAAGGGAUCGUUGAAGUUUUGAGAAAAGAGAAAAUAUGAUAUAGUCAUUUUUUAUGGCCAGAAGUAUGCUACAGAAGUAUGUAAGAUAGUUUUUUAGAAUCAUUUCUUCUGAGAUUUAUUAUGAGAAUCAUUAAGACUGUGUGCUUUUCUUUAGUCUCACUCAGCUACUUCUGAGAAGGCACAGAAUAGGUCAUUAUGGGCUUAACUAAUGUGACAGAGAUUACUAACUGUCACCAAAUAUACAUGUUCUGUUUUCCUUCUACUAAUAGAAUGCCCUGAAUUUAGCUUGUCUUGCCCAACAAAGAGAUUAUAUGUUUGAGCCUCCUUUACAGCUCAGAGCCACCCUGUGAUUGUGAUCCAGUGCGUAUGUGAUCCAAGAUGUGUGUAACUCCUAGAGCAUCUUCCUGAAGAGGAAACCACUUUCCUUGGACCUCAGUGAGUGGCUAUGAUGAUGGACCAUUACACCUAAGGGUUAUGGGAAAUGUGUCUGCAGGGGUGAUGAAUAGUGGGAAAAUGAUAGACUCAGUGAACUGGAAGGUGUAAUGAAGUUUUUUUAAUUGAAGUCAGGUAUUUGAUAAAGAGAAUCCUUGAAAGAUAGGGAUGGUGGUCAGAGAGUGGAAUGCUUAUAAUUAAUUAUUGGCAAGCAUAUGACUAUAGGAGAUGGCAGCUGAAGUGAGAUAAGCGGGGAGGAAGUCAUCAAAAGUAAGGAGUAAAAGAAGCUAGGAGGCCUCCUCAUUGGUUUGGUCAGCCAUCAUAGUGGCAACAGGAGCAGGUAUAAAGAUUGACAGCCAGGUACUAAAAUCUUCCAUAAAUGAGGGGAGACUUAGAGGUCAAUAGGAUAGCAAUAUUUGGGGUUGCAGUGUCUGAUAACAUGAACAACAAAGGAUCUUUGCGAAGAUCCUUUGAGAAGGAAAAAUGACUUACAAAGCAGCAGUAGGAAGCAAGGAAGAUAGCACUCUUAUUUCUAACCUUUAAGACCAGAGGUACACGGUGUAAGAGAACAAACUGCAUCUUUCUGAGAGGUCUGUAGGACAGGGGAACCAGUGCCCUUAAGGGAUAGGCAGGUUUCAGGCAAGGCAUGGAAGUGAAGGGAAUGUUCAGAGAGGAUAUCACAGAUAAAGAGUAUUGAUGACAGGUCAUGGGACUAAGAGGGCACAGGAAGCAUUCGGGGGUUAGGGAGGAGUGGGUGAGGGGGUGAUGUUCAUAUUCAUGGGUGAAUUGGGAUGGUAUGGAAAAAAGGGUUUAGACUUCUAGUGGUAUACCUUCUCAGGUAUACCACAUUAGUUAAAUGGAAAUAUGAGGCAUGUUGGUAUAGUGAGCCUGAGGAAGGUCAGGAAUUGGGAGUUCCCGUCGUGGCUCAGCAAUUAGCAAAUCUGACUAGCAUCCAUGAGGACACAGGUUUGUUCCCUGGCCUUCCUCAGUGGGUUAAAGAUCCCACUGUGAGCUGUGGUGUAGGUCGCAGACAUGGCUCAGAUCCUGUGUUGCUGUGCCACAGCUCUGAUACGGUCCCUAGCCUGGGAACCUCCAUAUGCUGUGGGUGUGACCCUAAAAAGAAAAAAGAAAAAAA
This 3103-nucleotide long non-coding RNA is filed under the name Sus scrofa (pig). RNAcentral's name for it is "lncRNA (ENSSSCG00000057582.1)". Lineage: Eukaryota; Metazoa; Chordata; Mammalia; Artiodactyla; Suidae. The record is from RNAcentral.